AGUGAACGCUGGCGGCAGGCCUAACACAUGCAAGUCGAACGGCAGCACGGCAGUAGCAAUACUGUGGGUGGCGAGUGGCGGACGGGUGAGGAAUACAUCGGGAUCUACCCUGUUGUGGGGGAUAACGUAGGGAAACUUACGCUAAUACCGCAUAAGAACUGAGGUUGAAAGCGGCGGACCGCAAGGCGUCGCGCGAUUGGAUGAACCGAUGUCCGAUUAGCUAGUUGGCGGGGUAAAGGCCCACCAAGGCGACGAUCGGUAGCUGGUCUGAGAGGAUGAUCAGCCACACUGGAACUGAGACACGGUCCAGACUCCUACGGGAGGCAGCAGUAGGGAAUAUUGGACAAUGGGCGCAAGCCUGAUCCAGCCAUGCCGCGUGAGUGAAGAAGGCCCUCGGGUUGUAAAGCUCUUUUGUCCGGAAAGAAAAGCGCCGGGUUAAUACCCUGGUGUCCUGACGGUACCGGAAGAAUAAGCACCGGCUAACUUCGUGCCAGCAGCCGAC
RNAcentral lists this ribosomal RNA (502 nucleotides) under uncultured bacterium. Its description in RNAcentral is "bacterial SSU rRNA". It matches the Rfam family "Bacterial small subunit ribosomal RNA", at positions 29 to 518 of the family's 1533-position model. The record is from RNAcentral.